RNAcentral lists this ribosomal RNA (224 nucleotides) under Paraburkholderia sp. UYCP14C. RNAcentral describes it as "Paraburkholderia sp. UYCPa14C partial 23S ribosomal RNA". It matches the Rfam family "Bacterial large subunit ribosomal RNA", at positions 2714 to 2925 of the family's 2925-position model. Lineage: Bacteria; Pseudomonadati; Pseudomonadota; Betaproteobacteria; Burkholderiales; Burkholderiaceae. The record is from RNAcentral.
GUACCGGUUGUCACGCCAGUGGCAUCGCCGGGUAGCUAUGUUCGGAAGAGAUAACCGCUGAAAGCAUCUAAGCGGGAAACUCGCCUUAAGAUGAGAUAUCCCCGGGGCUUCGAGCCCCUUGAAGGGUCGUUCAAGACCAGGACGUUGAUAGGUCAGGUGUGCACGUACAGUAAUGUACUGAGCUAACUGAUACUAAUUGCCCGUAAGGCUUGAUCCUAUAACAG